CCUACGGGAGGCAGCAGUGGGGAAUAUUGGACAAUGGGCGCAAGCCUGAUCCAGCCAUGCCGCGUGAGUGAUGAAGGCCCUAGGGUUGUAAAGCUCUUUCAACGGUGAAGAUAAUGACGGUAACUGUAGAAGAAGCCCCGGCUAACUUCGUGCCAGCAGCCGCGG
Molecule: ribosomal RNA, 165 nt
Filed under: uncultured Mesorhizobium sp.
Lineage: Bacteria; Pseudomonadati; Pseudomonadota; Alphaproteobacteria; Hyphomicrobiales; Phyllobacteriaceae
Description: partial 16S ribosomal RNA
Rfam family: Bacterial small subunit ribosomal RNA
Source: RNAcentral